RNAcentral lists this ribosomal RNA (455 nucleotides) under uncultured bacterium. RNAcentral's name for it is "bacterial SSU rRNA". It matches the Rfam family "Bacterial small subunit ribosomal RNA", at positions 340 to 786 of the family's 1533-position model. The record is from RNAcentral.
UACGGAAGGCAGCAGUGGGGAAUAUUGCACAAUGGGCGCAAGCCUGAUGCAGCCAUGCCGCGUGUAUGAAGAAGGCCUUCGGGUUGUAAAGUACUUUCAGUCGUGAGGAAGGUGUUAAGGUUAAUAACCUUAGCAAUUGACGUUAGCGACAGAAGAAGCACCGGCUAACUCCGUGCCAGCAGCCGCGGUAAUACGGAGGGUGCGAGCGUUAAUCGGAAUUACUGGGCGUAAAGGGCACGCAGGCGGUUAAUUAAGUUGGAUGUGAAAUCCCCGGGCUUAACCUGGGAAUGGCAUUCAAGACUGGUUAGCUAGAGUCUUGUAGAGGGGGUAGAAUUCCAUGUGUAGCGGUGAAAUGCGUAGAGAUGUGGAGGAAUACCGGUGGGCGAAGGCGGCCCCUGGGACAAAGACUGACGCUCAUGUGCGAAAGCGUGGGGAGCAAACAGGGAUUAGAUACC